UUCACUCGGGCAGUUUGGGUCAUAGUUCAAGUAGUUUCGAAUCUAUACCCACCAUGUAGUGCACGAAACAUGUUCGGCAACUGGUUGCCGGGUAUUGAUAAACAAUUUUCUGCACAUAUUCUUGUGGGAGCGGCGGCCUUAUGCUGGGCACUGUGGCUUACCAGGAAUGAUGUGAUUUUUAAUAACAAAUGUGUCUCAUCUCCUAUGCAGGUUAUUCAUGUGUGUACACGAUGGCUCCGUACUUGGUCUAUCCUGCAGAGUCCGGAGGACAGGGGCCUUUUUAUGAUGGCGUCUAUACGGCUGGAGCGUUCGGCCAAGGAAGUUUUCUACCCCCAUAGAUGGCGGUGUGACCUACGGAUAGGAUCUGCCACUCCUUAG
This 378-nucleotide ribosomal RNA is filed under the name Triticum aestivum (bread wheat). Its description in RNAcentral is "partial small subunit ribosomal RNA". The record is from RNAcentral. Lineage: Eukaryota; Viridiplantae; Streptophyta; Magnoliopsida; Poales; Poaceae.